AAAAAACAUAACCUUGAGAAACAUUCAAGGCAAGCCCUGCCCAGUGAUUAAUUUAAACGGCCGCAGUACCCUGACUGUGCUAAGGUAGCGUAAUCAGUUNUCUUUUAAUUGGGGACUAGUAUGAAUGGGUUCAUGGGGNUCUACUGUCUCCUGAGGGGUUUUGUGAAGUUGAAAAAAGGGUGAAAACUCCCUUAAAAAGAUAAAAGACGAGAAGACCCUAAGAACCUCAGAAACUACGAUUAGUAGUCGCAAGCUUUUGUUGGGGCGACAUCGGAGCACUAUCUUUUAAACCUCCGAAAAUAAGAGUAAACCAAACGAUAAUCAUAAGAGAGAUUAGGUUACCUUAGGGAUAACAGCAUAAUUAUUAAUAGUUUGUGACCUCGAUGUUGGACUAGGGACCUUCAGGACUAGAAGACCCAAAGGCAAGUUCUGUUCGAACUAACAAAUCCCUACGUGAUCU
RNAcentral lists this ribosomal RNA (460 nucleotides) under Myosotella myosotis (mouse ear snail). RNAcentral's name for it is "partial 16S ribosomal RNA". It matches the Rfam family "Bacterial large subunit ribosomal RNA", at positions 1808 to 2606 of the family's 2925-position model. Lineage: Eukaryota; Metazoa; Mollusca; Gastropoda; Ellobiida; Ellobiidae. The record is from RNAcentral.